AACGAACGCUGGCGGCAUGCCUAACACAUGCAAGUCGAACGAGACCUUCUGGUCUAGUUGCGCACGGGUGCGUAACUCGUGGGAACCUGCCCUUAGGUUCGGAAUAACUCCCCGAAGGGGGUGCUAAUACCGGAUAAUGUCUUCGGACCAAAGAUUUAUCGCCUUUGGAUGGGCCCGCGUUGGAUUAGCUAGUUGGUAGGGUAAAAGCAUACCAAGGCGACGAUCCAUAGCUGGUCUGAGAGGAUGAUCAGCCACACUGGGACUGAGACACGGCCCAGACUCAUACGGGAGGCAGCAGUGGGGAAUAUUGGACAAUGGGCGAAAGCCUGAGCCAGCAAUGCCGCGUGAGUGAUGAAGGCCUUAGGGUUGUAAAGCUCUUUUACCCGGGAUGAUAAUGACAGUACCGGGAGAAUAAGCCCCGGCUAACUCCGUG
Molecule: ribosomal RNA, 433 nt
Filed under: uncultured bacterium
Lineage: Bacteria
Description: partial 16S ribosomal RNA
Rfam family: Bacterial small subunit ribosomal RNA
Source: RNAcentral